AUGGGGUCCCACCUGGGCCUGCAUCUCAAGGUGUCCUCCCCCCCCACCCCACCCCCCCCCAGCCAGGUCCAUUGGGUGGGCGACCACGCUCAGGACCUUCCCGCCCGGAGCGAAACAGGUCCCGUCACCGGUCAAGAGGUCUUCUCCGUCCUCAGUGUCCUCCGUCUGGAGAAGGGUGAGGAGGGGAAGGCCUACGCCUGCAUGGUGAGACACCUCACCCUGGAGGAACCCUUGAACGUCACCGAAAACACCGGCAGAGAAGGUCCACCCACGGUCUCUCCCACACCUGAACAGCCGGAGAGUUCCUCAUCCCACCAUGGUUGCCUCAGGUCUCCACCACCUUCCCUGCAACCCCCUUCUUUCCACGAGCUCUUCCAACGCCAAGCGGCCAACUUGACCUGCGCCACCCCCUUGGCCAACGCCACCCUGAGUUGGGCGGUAGAAGGUCGUCCGGCGGCCCCCGAGGCGGUGAAGGUGGACCGUCGCCCCGCGGGGGCAGGGGCAGGGAGUCCCUUGAAGCCCCCGAGCCUCCACGUCUUGCCCUCGUCACGUGCCGAGGCUUGCGCCGGCCACAACUUCACCGCCUUCUGCCUCGUCAAGGACUUCUACCCGCCGGAGAUCGCCGUCUGGUGGCGGCAAGGCGCUAACGAAGGGCCAGUUGACGAGGCGCCCAGUUGUGACCACAAAGCCCACCGCUGCUCCCUGGUGGUCACCUUGGACGUGCCGUGGGACGAGUGGGUGGGGGGCACCUCCUACGGCUGCUCGGCCGCCCACAUCUCCUCCGGCAAGAUGGUGGAGAAGACCGUUGACGUCCAUGCCGACCCCUGGGAUUGCACCGGGCUCCACUUUGUACCUUGCGGCUUAUUGGGUGAGGGCGAUGACCUGGAGCCGGAGGAGGAUGGCAGCGCCUGGACCACCAUCUCCACCUUCGUGGUGCUCUUCCUCCUCCUGAUCUUCUACAGCGGCUUCAUCACCUUCAUCAAGAGGCCACCAGAAUUUCCCUAG
Non-coding RNA from Egretta garzetta (little egret), 1005 nucleotides. The record is from the annotation of a RefSeq genome assembly. Lineage: Eukaryota; Metazoa; Chordata; Aves; Pelecaniformes; Ardeidae.